CUCGUAGGCGGCCCGUUAGGUCAGGAGUCAAAUUCGGGGGGCUCAACCCCCCGCGCGCUCCUGAUACCGGCGGGCUUGAGUUUGGUAGGGGAAGGUGGAAUUCCCAGUGUAGCGGUGGAAUGCGCAGAUAUUGGGAAGAACACCGGUGGCGAAGGCGGCCUUCUGGGCCAUAACUGACGCUGAGGAGCGAAAGCUAGGGGAGCGAACA
This 208-nucleotide ribosomal RNA is filed under the name uncultured bacterium. RNAcentral describes it as "partial 16S ribosomal RNA". It matches the Rfam family "Bacterial small subunit ribosomal RNA", at positions 568 to 774 of the family's 1533-position model. The record is from RNAcentral.